CCCUUAGAUGUUCUGGGCCGCACGCGCGCUACACUGAUGCAUUCAACGAGUUUCUUCCUGGUCCGAGAGGAAUGGGUAACCUUUUGAAAGUGCAUCGUGAUAGGGAUAGACUAUUGCAAUUAUUGGUCUUCAACGAGGAAUUCCUAGUAGACGUAGUUCAUCAGACUGCAUCGAUUACGUCCCUGCCCCUUGUACACACCGCCCGUCGCUCCUACCGAUUGAAUGCUCAGGUGAGCCAUUCGGACCUUCAUCAUGCCGGUUUCCGGUUUUGAUGAGGGAAAGUCUUGCGAACCUUAUCAUUUAGAGGAAGGAGAAGUCGUAACA
RNAcentral lists this ribosomal RNA (324 nucleotides) under uncultured eukaryote. RNAcentral describes it as "partial 18S ribosomal RNA". It matches the Rfam family "Eukaryotic small subunit ribosomal RNA", at positions 1470 to 1796 of the family's 1831-position model. The record is from RNAcentral.